UGGGGAAUAUUGGACAAUGGGCGCAAGCCUGAUCCAGCAAUGCCGCNUGAGUGAUGAAGGCCUUAGGGUNGUAAAGCUCUUUUACCCGGGAUGAUAAUGACAGUACCNGGAGAAUAAGCUCCGGCUAACUCCGUGCCANCANCCGCGGUAAUACGGAGGGAGCUNGCGUUAUUNNGAAUUACUGGGCGUAAAGCGCACGUAGGCGNCUUNGUAAGUUAGAGGUGAAAGCCUGGANCUCAACUCCAGAAUUGCCUUUAAGANUGCAUCGCUUGAAUCCAGGAGAGGUGAGUGGAAUUCCGAGUGUAGAGGUGAAAUUCGUAGAUAUUCGGAAGAACACCAGUGGCGAAGGCGGCUCACUGGACUGGUAUUGACGCUGAGGUGCGAAAGCGUGGGGAGCAANCAGNAUUAGAUACCCUNGUAGUCCNCCCCGUAANCGAUGAUAACUAGCUGUCCGGGGACUUGGUCCUUGGGUGNCNCAGCUAACGCAUUAAGUUAUCCGCCUGGGGAGUACGNCCGCAAGGUU
Molecule: ribosomal RNA, 523 nt
Filed under: uncultured bacterium
Lineage: Bacteria
Description: partial 16S ribosomal RNA
Rfam family: Bacterial small subunit ribosomal RNA
Source: RNAcentral